GAGGUAGUGAUCUAGCCUGGUUAUGAUGCCUCGUUCACACCGAGGAAAUCCGCGGUUCAAGUCCGCGCUACCUCACCA
This 78-nucleotide transfer RNA is filed under the name Candidatus Heimdallarchaeota archaeon. Its description in RNAcentral is "tRNA-Val". It matches the Rfam family "tRNA". From Rfam's summary of the family: Transfer RNA (tRNA) molecules are approximately 80 nucleotides in length. Lineage: Archaea; Promethearchaeati; Candidatus Heimdallarchaeota. The record is from RNAcentral.